GGACAGACACUUCAGUAUCUAGGUCUGGGACGGCGAUCCUAUUGAGCUCGAUGAGAUUAACAAAGAUUUGAUCACCUAUAGGGAUGCAAUGCAGUGGUCUAACUCUAAGAAGUGGCUUGAAGCCAUCAAAUCUAAAUUGAAGUCCAUAGAAAUCAAUAGUGUAUAGAUACUAGAUUCACCAGAAGGGAUAAAAUCUAUUAGGUGUGAAUGGAUUUUUCAAAAGGAUCAGAGUAGGGC
This 237-nucleotide long non-coding RNA is filed under the name Elaeis guineensis (African oil palm). Its description in RNAcentral is "long non-coding RNA (EGUI_LNC055034)". Lineage: Eukaryota; Viridiplantae; Streptophyta; Magnoliopsida; Arecales; Arecaceae. The record is from RNAcentral.